This 253-nucleotide ribosomal RNA is filed under the name uncultured bacterium. Its description in RNAcentral is "partial 16S ribosomal RNA". It matches the Rfam family "Bacterial small subunit ribosomal RNA", at positions 524 to 776 of the family's 1533-position model. The record is from RNAcentral.
UACGUAGGGGGCAAGCGUUGUCCGGAUUUACUGGGCGUAAAGAGCGCGCAGGCGGUCGUAUAAGUCGCGUGUGAAAGCCCCCGGCUCAACUGGGGAGGGUCACGCGAUACUGCUCGACUUGAAGGCAGGAGAGGGAAGUGGAAUUCCCGGUGUAGUGGUGAAAUGCGUAGAUAUCGGGAGGAACACCAGUGGCGAAGGCGACUUCCUGGCCUGUUCUUGACGCUGAGGCGCGAAAGCUAGGGUAGCAAACGGG